AACGCAAAUGGCACUCUAUGGUAUUCCGUAGAGUACGUCUGUUUGAGCGUCGCGAACAUCUCCAUAAUUAGUUUUUUUAAAUUGAUUGUGGGUUUUGAGGUUGUCAUAUAAGCAAUGACUCCCUUUAAAAUAAUUAGUGAUGACCUUAUGAAUGGGUUAAUACUGUGUGUUAUAAUGGAUUACAUCCAUCACCAGUCAGAGAGUAAUCUCGCCUUAGUAAUUUGUAGUGAUUGCUUCUAACUGCCAUUGGCUAACAAACUGAUCAAAUCGACCUCAAAUCAGAUGGGAUUACCCGCUGAACUUAA
RNAcentral lists this unclassified non-coding RNA (305 nucleotides) under uncultured Wallemiales. Its description in RNAcentral is "sequence contains 5.8S rRNA gene, ITS2, 28S rRNA gene". Lineage: Eukaryota; Fungi; Basidiomycota; Wallemiomycetes. The record is from RNAcentral.